GUUUGAUCCUGGCUCAGAAUCAACGCUGGCGGCGUGCCUAACACAUGCAAGUCGAACGAGAAAGUGGAGCAAUCCAUGAGUAAAGUGGCGACCGGGUGAGUAACACGUGACUAACCUACCUUCGAGUGGGGGAUAACUCCGGGAAACCGGGGCUAAUACCGCAUAACAUCCUCGGAUCGGAAGAACUGGGGAUCAAAGGAGCAAUUCGCUUGAAGAGGGAGUCGCGGCUGAUUAGCUUGUUGGCGGGGUAAUGGCCCACCAAGGCGAUGAUCGGUAUCCGGCCUGAGAGGGCGCACGGACACACUGGAACUGAAACACGGUCCAGACUCCUACGGGAGGCAGCAGUGGGGAAUUUUGCGCAAUGGGGGAAACCCUGACGCAGCAACGCCGCGUGGAGGAUGAAGUCCCUUGGGACGUAAA
RNAcentral lists this ribosomal RNA (420 nucleotides) under uncultured bacterium. RNAcentral's name for it is "bacterial SSU rRNA". It matches the Rfam family "Bacterial small subunit ribosomal RNA", at positions 11 to 429 of the family's 1533-position model. The record is from RNAcentral.